UACGGAGGGUGCAAACGUUAAUCGGAAUUACUGGGCGUAAGGCGCGCGUAGGUGGUUGAGUAAGUCGGAUGUGAAAUCCGCGGGCUUAACCUGGGAAUUGCAUUUGAUACUGCCUGACUAGAGUGUGGAAGAGGGAAGCGGAAUUUCCGGUGUAGCGGUGAAAUGCGUAGAUAUCGGGAGGAACACCAGUGGCGAAGGCGGCUUCCUGGGCCGAAACUGACGCUGAGGCGCGAAAGCGUGGGGAGCGAACAGG
RNAcentral lists this ribosomal RNA (253 nucleotides) under uncultured bacterium. Its description in RNAcentral is "partial 16S ribosomal RNA". It matches the Rfam family "Bacterial small subunit ribosomal RNA", at positions 524 to 776 of the family's 1533-position model. The record is from RNAcentral.